GCUGAGAUAGCUCAGGUGGUAGAGCGCCAGUAUAUAAUAAUACAUUCCGCUUUUGGCAACCAAUGUUCCUAUAAAAUUUAAGGGAACUGGAGGUCGUGGGUUCGAAUCCCACUCUCAGUCCCA
Molecule: transfer RNA, 123 nt
Filed under: Candidatus Brocadiales bacterium
Lineage: Bacteria; Pseudomonadati; Planctomycetota; Candidatus Brocadiia; Candidatus Brocadiales
Description: tRNA-OTHER
Rfam family: tRNA
About the family: Transfer RNA (tRNA) molecules are approximately 80 nucleotides in length. Their secondary structure includes four short double-helical elements and three loops (D, anti-codon, and T loops).
Source: RNAcentral